Molecule: unclassified non-coding RNA, 1777 nt
Filed under: Hevea brasiliensis (rubber tree)
Lineage: Eukaryota; Viridiplantae; Streptophyta; Magnoliopsida; Malpighiales; Euphorbiaceae
Source: RNAcentral
GCACUAUCACUGUUUCUACUCCUCCCACCAUUGAAAUUUAUGUCUCUCUUCCUUUUUUGACUAUCAAUUUUCCAAGAAUCUUAGCUGAUCUUGGUUGAGCCACUACUGAGAGCAGCAGGUUUUGGCAAUGGCUACAUCUGCUUGGGACAUUGCUGCCACAGAAUUCUUACAAGGUUUUCAUAGACAAAAGCUAGCAUUGCCUAGACAUUCUAGUAAGCAGACAAAUCUUUUGCUUUGGGGUACACUUCCAAGGCAGAGCUCUUUUGGGUAUUCACAUAAAAAUUUGAGACUAAGGUCCCAUAUUCCGGCGAAGAUUAGUGCUGUAGUUUCAGGAAAUGUCAGUAGCUUGGUGGAUGAAAAUUCAGGCAAAGUUCAGGAGGUUGCUGAAAACCUGAUACAUUUAUACCGUGUUCCGUUUCUACAAGACAGUGCCACAGCUGAGCUUCUCAAGUUGGUUCAGACAAAGAUCUCUAAUCAAAUAAUUGGCUUGAAAACUGAACAAUGCUUCAACGUUGGACUCAAAUCAGAUCUUUCAAGUGAUAAAUUUUCUGUGCUUAAAUGGCUUUUAGGAGAAACUUAUGAACCUGAGAGCUUGGGAAGUGAGAGUUUCCUUGAGAGGGAGCAGCGGAAACAUCCAGAUGCAUAUAUCGUUGAAGUUGGUCCUCGGUUAUGUUUCACUACAGCGUGGUCUGCUAAUGCUGUGUCAAUUUGCCAAGCAUGCGGGCUAACAGAGAUAAACAGACUGGAGCGCUCUAGGAGGUACUUAUUAUAUGUCAAGGGGUCACUUCUAGAUAGUCAAAUUAAUGAGUUUGCUUCAAUGGUUCAUGAUCGAAUGACAGAGUGCAUUUAUGUUGAGAAGCUUACUUCUUUCAAGACAAGCAUAGUUCCGGAGGAGGUUCGAUAUAUACCAGUCAUGGAAAAGGGUCGCAAGGCAUUGGAGGAAAUUAAUGAGGAAAUGGGCUUGGCCUUUGAUGAGCAAGACUUACAGUACUACACCAAACUUUUCAGGGAUGACAUAAAGCGAAACCCGACAAAUGUAGAAUUAUUUGAUAUUGCUCAAUCUAAUAGCGAACAUAGUAGGCACUGGUUCUUUACAGGAAAGCUUGUUAUAGAUGGUCAACCUGUGGAUAAGACUCUUAUGCAGAUUGUCAAAAGCACUUUGCUUGCAAAUCCGAACAAUUCAGUUAUUGGAUUCAAAGAUAAUUCCAGUGCUAUCAAGGGGUUUCCAGUGAAGCAAUUGCGACCUGUUCAGCCUGGUUCGACAUGCCCUUUGGACACGGUUACCACCGACCUUGAUGUCUUGUUUACAGCAGAAACCCAUAAUUUUCCUUGUGCUGUGGCACCUUAUCCUGGUGCUGAGACCGGUGCAGGAGGCCGGAUCCGGGAUACCCAUGCUACUGGAAGGGGUUCUUUUGUUGUUGCAUCUACAGCUGGAUAUUGUGUUGGAAAUCUUAACAUUGAAGGGUCAUAUGCUCCCUGGGAAGAUCCUUCUUUCACAUACCCAGCAAACUUGGCAUCACCAUUACAGAUUCUUAUUGAUGCUAGUAACGGAGCAUCAGACUAUGGGAAUAAGUUUGGGGAGCCCUUGAUCCAGGGUUAUACUCGAACUUUUGGAAUGAGACUACCAAGUGGUGAGAGGAGGGAAUGGUUAAAGCCAAUCAUGUUUAGUGCUGGUAUUGGGCAAAUAGAUCACCGUCACAUAACAAAGGGAGAACCCGAGAUUGGUAUGUUGGUAGUUAAGAUUGGGGGACCAGCAUAUCGUAUUGGAAUGGGAGGU